This 253-nucleotide ribosomal RNA is filed under the name uncultured bacterium. Its description in RNAcentral is "partial 16S ribosomal RNA". It matches the Rfam family "Bacterial small subunit ribosomal RNA", at positions 524 to 776 of the family's 1533-position model. The record is from RNAcentral.
UACGAGUGCCUCAAGCGUUAUCCGGAAUUAUUGGGCGUAAAGGGUGUGUAGGCGGUCUUGUUAGUCUUCUGUCAAAUUCUUCGGCUUAACCGGGGGCAUGCAGAGGAAACGGCAAGACUUGAGGAUGCGAGAGGUGAAUGGAACUCAUAGUGUAGGGGUGAAAUCCGUUGAUAUUAUGGGGAACACCAAAAGCGAAGGCAAUUCACUGGCGCACUCCUGACGCUGAAACACGAAAGCGUGGGUAGCGAAUGGG